GACACAUAUUUAGUAGCACCUGAGCCUGCACCUUGAGUCCUCCUUUCCUCCCUCUCUCUCACCUCCUGGUGAGGGACACCCCACCAUAACAGCUGAGGAGGAACUGCAGAGUUGGGUGAUACAAAGAAAGAAGAUUGUGGGAAAGAAAAACACAAAGAAACUGCACUAAAUGGGUGAAAUCAUGGAUACUACAGUGACAAACUGAAGGGCCUUUCCCAAACCGUUCUCUUCUCAUGCACUGAUAUACUUAGCUCAAAAGAAAAUCAGAGUGGUCUGUCUCACCAGUGCCGGUGUCUGCCGGUGAUUCAACAUGCCAAAUUGAUUGAAAAGCCACCAGCGGGGUCCGACUAGUGCCAAUGGUGCAGGACACUAUGAAGAUGACGGCGACAGAUGCUCGCCAAUGGUCGGCAAUGGCCUACUAUCAGCUUGGUGAGUCACGGGCCCAAGGACUGCACUUUGUCUCCUAGGUUGUACUAGAUUGCUGAGAUUAGUUAUGUCACAUUCUUAAUGUAGCCGGGUAGUACACAUAUACUAAGAGGAGAUAAAUAAAUAACUAAAUUGUUUUCCACUGAUGAUGAAAGGUCCCCUAAAGGUUUUCAACAUUCAAAUUGUCAUUCAUUGUUUAUGGUUUUCCUGUAACACCAUUCAAUUGUGGUGAUAUGUAAAAGUAACCAAAGCUUGAACAAAUGCAUUGUGGUCCCUUCCUUCUUUAUGUUGGACUGAGCUUGAGUGGAGCGCCGUGAUUUUUUUAACCUAAGUAAGUAAAUAUGCUGAAAUCUUGUUGGA
This is a long non-coding RNA of Monopterus albus (swamp eel), 786 nucleotides long. RefSeq lists it as uncharacterized. The transcript has 2 exons. NCBI's taxonomy places the organism in Eukaryota, Metazoa, Chordata, Actinopteri, Synbranchiformes, Synbranchidae. The record is from RefSeq and is a predicted model, not a curated record.